This 21-nucleotide unclassified non-coding RNA is filed under the name Mus musculus (house mouse). RNAcentral describes it as "oocyte_clustered_small_RNA8436". Lineage: Eukaryota; Metazoa; Chordata; Mammalia; Rodentia; Muridae. The record is from RNAcentral.
UUCCAGGACAGCCCUGGGUGC